Molecule: long non-coding RNA, 338 nt
Filed under: Nicotiana benthamiana
Lineage: Eukaryota; Viridiplantae; Streptophyta; Magnoliopsida; Solanales; Solanaceae
Description: long non-coding RNA (NBEN_LNC022364)
Source: RNAcentral
UAAUAAACAAAACAUAGGGCAAAAAUAGGGCAGGUCAGCUGCAUAGCAAAGAGGAAAGAAAAGGCAAAAACAUUGCAUCACUUUAUAGGCGAAUCGACCUUUUGGCCCGCUUUGGAUCUGCUAAGGCUAUCUCUGCAAGUUUCUCAUUUGCCAUAAUUUUCUUCAAUUCAGAUACCAUGUCUUUAGCGUGUUUUGGAUCUGCUAAGGCUAUCUCUGCAAGUUUCUCAUUUGCCAUAAUUUUCUUCAAUUCAGCUCCACUAAAUUCACCAUUUCCAAAUUCCAAACUGAAGCUGUUUGAAUUUGCAUCAAGCGAACUGGUCGGUGAGAGUUGGCCAGGG